RNAcentral lists this RNase MRP RNA (271 nucleotides) under Gossypium arboreum. Its description in RNAcentral is "RNase MRP". It matches the Rfam family "RNase MRP". From Rfam's summary of the family: RNase MRP is an enzymatically active ribonucleoprotein with two distinct roles in eukaryotes. In mitochondria it plays a direct role in the initiation of mitochondrial DNA replication. In the nucleus it is involved in precursor rRNA processing, where it cleaves the internal transcribed spacer 1 between 18S and 5.8S rRNAs. Lineage: Eukaryota; Viridiplantae; Streptophyta; Magnoliopsida; Malvales; Malvaceae. The record is from Rfam by way of RNAcentral.
CAACUAUUAGACGAAGUGAAUGGGUUGCGGCCGGUGCUUGUAAUCUGGCCAGAUCCAGGAAAGUCCCCGGGCCCUCAACUGCAGAGAUGCAGGCUCGGAAACGAGCAAAGCUUAAGGUCGUUGGCGUUUGUUCUUGCCAUUGGCAAGGCGGGGCUGAGACGAGUGUGGAGCCCUAAUAACCCUAAUGACGAAGCAAUUUGGCCGAUGACCACAGUUAUUCACUUGGUCCCUAAGCUUGGACUAACUGAACGGGGCUUAUGAUCUAGUAGUU